This 497-nucleotide ribosomal RNA is filed under the name uncultured bacterium. Its description in RNAcentral is "partial 16S ribosomal RNA". It matches the Rfam family "Bacterial small subunit ribosomal RNA", at positions 28 to 507 of the family's 1533-position model. The record is from RNAcentral.
GAUGAACGCUGGCGGCGUGCCUAACACAUGCAAGUCGAGCGAACGGACGAGAAGCUUGUUCCUCUGCUGUUAGCGGCGGACGGGUGAGUAACACGUGGAUAACCUACCUAUAUGACUGGGAUAAUUUCGGGGAACCGGAGAUAAUACCGGAUAAUAUUUUGAACCGCAUGGUGCAAAAGUGAAAGACGGUCUUGGUGUCAGUUAUAGCUGGAUCCGCGCUGGAUUAGCUAGUUGGUAAGGUAACGGCUUACCAAGGCAACGAUGCGUAGCCGACCUGAGGGGGUGAUCGGCCACACUGGAACUGAGACACGGUCCAGACUCCUACGGGAGGCAGCAGUAGGGAAUCUUCCGCAAUGGGCGAAAGCCUGACGGAGCAACACCGCGUGAGUGAUGAAGGUCUUCGGAUCGUAAAGCUCUGUUAUUGGGGAAGAACAUAUGUGUAAGUAACUGUGCACAUCUUGACGGUACCUAAUCAGAAAGCCCCGGCUAACUACGUG